RNAcentral lists this long non-coding RNA (7057 nucleotides) under Jatropha curcas. RNAcentral's name for it is "long non-coding RNA (JCUR_LNC000918)". The record is from RNAcentral. Lineage: Eukaryota; Viridiplantae; Streptophyta; Magnoliopsida; Malpighiales; Euphorbiaceae.
AAGGAGCAUAUGAUUUCCUUGUUGUGAUACUGAACUGUGUGGAAGACUUGAAAAUGGAUCCCCAAAAGGAUUUAAAGGACUCAUUUGAUGCGUUUGUGAUUGAGGAUGUUGAGGUUGAUACAGUUGUUGCUGUUGAUGUUGUAGCAUCAUCUGUUGUUGCUGUUGUAACAUCAUUUGUUGUUGUUGUUGUUGAGUCAUUGCCAUUUGCACAUUUGGUGGAGGUGGUACAUUACUUGACAUUGCAAAUGGGUCAUGUUGUUCAAAUGGAUUAUUUUGCAUAGUCAUCAUCCCUCCAUAUCCAUAACCUGCAUUUUGUAAUUCUAGUUGUCUCCUCGCAGAAUCAUCUUCAUAUAAGCUAUCUAGUAAUAGCCUAUCAAAUCCACCAGCCUGAUUCAUUUUUUUUAAAAAACAUCAUUAAAAUAUUGUUUUCAAUAAUUAAAACUCUUGUAAUUAAUAAACUUUGCAAAUUAACUUUAAAUUAGGAAUUAAUAUUAAGAUUAGUGGAAUUUUAUUAAUGUAUCAUAUAUACAUUAGGUUAAUUACAAUAUGCUCUUAGAAAUUCACCUUAAUUUAUAUAUUCGAACAUUAUUAUUUCAAGAUUAACAAUUUUAGUCCUUGAUAUUUGUUAAUGGCUCCAACACUUUCAAAAUAUUCUAUUUGUCAUUAAUGGUAAUGUAAGAAUUACAUUAACUAAUUUUGAAACUAUGGAAACUAAAGAUUAUAUGAAAACAAGUCUAACAUAGUAUUUUUAAAUCUGAUGAAAACUUGUCUGGAUGUAAUCUAUGAGAAAAUCUAUGAACCAAAUUAAUAAUAAAGAUGUUUAAAUAUUUAAUCAAUAUUUAAACCACUAAUAUAUUUGUUUUUGUUAAACUGUUGUAAGAAAUAAAAGUCAUGAACUGAAAAUGUCAAUACAAAAAAAAAAAAAAAAAAAAAAAAAAAAAAAAAAAAGAAACACUAACCAAUUGGCUGCCUGUCACAUGACUAGUAUUGUUACUUGGUGCAGUAACAAGUGCUAGCUCCCAUCCUGUUGCAUUUGGCCCAACAAGUGCACUCAAAGCAUCACUUGAUGAAGAUAAAUUACCAUUAUCUGCAUAAAAAAAAAAAGUGUUUAAAUAUAAAACUUAUUCAAUAAAUUUAGUUCCAUCAGGUAGAAUUAAUAUGAAAAUUACUUAUUUUACGUUUGUAUUUUACUAAAAUAUACUAUUAUGUUCUUGCAUUUUCUGAAAAUACAUUAAUUUUUCCUUAUAUUUCGUAUCUGUUUACUAUUUUGUCCUUCCAUUAAUUUUUUGUAUUCUUUUGUCAAUAUUUAUAAUACAACUUCAGAAAAAUUAACUAUUUUAUCUUUGUAUUUAGCCAAAUUAACUAGUUUUAUCUACAAUUUUUUGUAAUUUUUUAAUGGAAAAAAUUAAAAAAUUUGCCCUAAGGAAAAAAUAAAGAAACAGAUGCAAAAAAACAGAAAAUUAGUAUAUUUAAAAAAAUGCAAGGACAAACUAGUGUAUUUAGACAAAAUGCAAGAAAAAUAGUAAUUUUUUACCAUAAAAUUUAAGUAAUAUGAGAAAAGUUCCAAAAAUUUCCUAAGCUCUUAGUAGCUGGAUACUAAUUAACAUUGCAUACAGAGAAACAGUAGUUGAGAUAAAACUUCUUGAAUGAAUUAAAUAUAUAAGAACCGGUUUACCUGUUGGAACAAUUGCAAGAGCUAAUGCGUUGCUUUCCUCUAAUUGUAUAGCUUUUUGAUUUAUUUCAUGCAAACCCUACAACCAAAAACUUACAUGUGAAAAUAGAAUAUCAUAACAAACCUAACAGAAACAUUGAAAGAAGUGGAAAACUUGCAAGCAAAUCUCCGGUAUCAUCAUAAACAGAUAUCAACUGUGGAGAUUCCACCACCUCUUCUUCAAGUUGAACGUCUUCUGAUUUGUCCAUUGCUGUUUCAUUUUCAUCAAUUUUUUCAACCUCUUCUUCUAUAGGUUCUUAAGGUUCUUCUUUUGCCUUAAGUUCUGGUACUUCUCUCUCUUGAUGAUAUUCCUACCGUUCAACAAUUAUGUUUAUUACAAACUAAAACAUAGAGUAAUGGUAUUAUUCUUAUUACAGUAAUGGUAUUUAUACAGAGAUGAACCUAAAGUCAUGAAAACUAAAAGGGAAAGAAUACUAAUUAUACAAGAAAGUAAGGAAUCGUAACUAAUAUGGAAAAUCAACUACUAUAGAAAAGAAAUAAUAUAUACAACUAAUAUAAGGCAUGAUUUUAGGCUUUAAUAAUCCCUUUAAGCUGGAGUAUGUAAGUCAUAAAUACCCAGCUUGCAAUGUAGAAAAAGAAACUUGUCCUUGACGAGAGCCUUUGUCAAAAGAUUAAUUGGCUGAUUGGCAAAGAAAAUUGAUAAAGGAAGAAGAAUGCCAACUUGAAGUUUCUCUCAAAAACAUGAUAAUCAAUUUCAAGAUGCUUUAUCUGCAAAACAAGAUUAAUAGUAAUGUGAUGAUCAAGUUGAUUAUCACAAUAUAAAGGUGUAGGUUGCAUUAAAGAAAUCCCAAAAUCUUUUAACAAAUUAUGCAUCCAAACAACUCCUUUAUUGGUAGUUGCCAUAGCAUGGUAUACAGUUUCAAGAGAGGAAUAAGAGAAAAUAGUUUGCUUUUUUUCUUUUCCAAGAAAUGAAACUUGUGCCAACAAAUAUAUAAUAACCUGUGGUAGACCAUCUUAUCAUAGGACAACUUGCCCAAUCAGAGUCGUAAUAAGUAGUGCGCGAAAAUGAACUAGAUGAAGAUAGAAGAAUGCUUUGAUCAAGAGUUUUGUUCAGGUAUCGAAGAAAAUGAUGAGCAACAUCUAAAUGUGGCUUACGAGGUGCCUGCAUAAAUCGAUUGAGAAUAUUAAUAGGGAAAGCAAUAUCGGGUCUAGAGAUAGUAAGAUAAAUAAGUCGACCAACUAGUCAAUGAUAAAUAAAAGCAACUUCUAAUAAAAUCCCAUUAGAAUCUAAAAAUUUAAUAUUGAGUUCCAUAAGUGUGUCAGUUAUUCGAGCAUCAAUAACAGUAGCAUCAUUGAGCAAGCCAAGGACAUACUUGCGCUUACUCAAAUAGAUACUUUUAGUGAAGCGAGCAAUUUCAAUACCAAGGAAAUAUUUUAGUGAACCCAAAUCCGUGAUACGAAAAUGGCUAAGAAGAAAAAUUUUAAAUUAUUGAAUGAGUGCUUACCAUGUUAUCCAUAUAAAUUAGAGGAAAAAAAAAGUUAGGAAUACGCCCUAAAAUAAAUAAAGAGAUCAGCAUGUGAUUACCUGAGAUCAAGAAUGCAUGAGAAAAUGUGGAAAACCAAUUGCGAGGAGCUUGUUUUAGUCGAUAAAGUAACUUAUGAAGCUUGCAAGCUAGAGAAUACUCUCUUUUUUAUCACAUUUUUCAGGCAAGACAUAUAAACCUCUUCAUUUAGCUAUACAUGAAGAAAAGCAUUUUGAACAUCAAGUUAGUGUAAAGGCCAAUUUUUCACUGCAGUAAUAGCUAAAAGAACAUGCACUAUCAAUAAUUUUACUAUAGGAGCAAAAUUAUAAUGAUAAUCAACCCCUUCAACCUAGAUAAAAUCUUUGGUAACUAGAUGUCCCUCAUAUCUUUCAAUACUAUCAUCAUAUCGCCUUUUGAUUUUAAAAAUCCAUUUGCAACUAACUGGCUUCUUGUCAUGAGGAAGAGGAAUAAUAGACCAAGUCUUUGUGUCUUCUAAAGCAAAAAGUUUAACAUCAAUGGCUUGCCUCCACUCAGGAAACCUAAUGGCUUGGUAAAAUUUGUAGGUUCAAUAUCAAAAGACAAAGGGCUAAGAAAAUGCACAAAGGACAAGAAGUAAAAUGAUGAUAAGAAAGAAAAUCUUCAAGAGGAUAUUUCAUACCUGAAUGUAAAGACGAGUGACGAGAUUAAGCAUGAGAGCAAUGAUAAUUUUUAUACUUAGAAGGUAGGCAAAUUUCUCAUUGGAAGUAAAGCAGUGGUAGGUGCAUUAGUGGAGGAUCUUGAACUGAAUGAUAUACAAGGUCUGUUGAAUUUGGGGUUGGAGGAAUAGUAUUAGGAGAGGAUAAGGAGAGGAUGGAAGGGUCCAUACUACUAUCUUCUUCUAUUGGAAAAGAGAGUGGAAAUGAAUCUUCAGUUUGCUUCUUGUACAUGAUGAAAAUGUUUGUUCAUGAAAAUUUACAUCAUGACUAAUAGAAAUUUUUUGUGUGAAGUUAAAAUAUUUUAUAAUCCUUUUGACCAUAUGAAUAGCUAAUAAAAAUUCUAGGUGAAGCCCGUUUAUCAAAUUUAUAUGUGAUGUGAACAUUAGGUCUAAAGCAUAAACAACCAAAUGCAUGAAGAUGUUGAAAUGUUGGUGCCUUAUUAAACGGUAACUCAAAUGAUGCUUUAUAGUUGAGAGCUUUGGUAGGCAUUUGUUUAGAAGAUAUGCAACGGUAAGAACACAUCCCUCUAAGAUUUAAUAGGUAAACCAACUUGAAAACGAAGAGCCCGAGCUAAGUAUAACAAGUGCCUAUGUUUGUGCUUCACAACACCAUUUUAUUGUGGUGUGUGGGUGCAACUAUGCUUAUGAACAACACUAAGUGAAUUGAAGGAGGGGGCAAUAUUAUUAAAAAAUUCAGUACCAUUAUCACUUUGAACCCAUCCAAUUGUGGCAUUAAAUUGUGUUUUUAUCAUGGAAAAAGAAUUUUCAAUGUAAUGAUAAACUUGAGACUUAGAUUGAAGUAAGAAAAUCCAAACACCAUGAGAAAAAUUAUCCAUGAUAGUUAAAAAGAAAUUUGCACCAUUCAAAGAGGGGGUUGAAUAUGGUCCCUAAACAUCAACAUGAAGAGUUUAAAAUAGGAAUUCGUUGAAAUAAAACUAAUAGGAAAUCAUACACAUCAACAUGAAGAGUUUAAAAUAGGAAUUCGUUGAAAUAAAACUAAUAGGAAAUGAUACACCAGUUUGUUCUGCCAAAGGUCAAAUAAGAUAUGGAUGUUUAUUGGAAAAAUAAUAUUAUUGAUAUGAGGUAAUAAUUUUAACAUGUUGACCAGGAUGUCUAAGACGCAAAUGUAAAAUAUCCAUAAUUGAGGUUUUUACAGAAAGACCACCGUGCUCCUUUGCCAAACCUAUAAACUUCUUCAUCGCCAGGUCCUGAAACACACAAAAAUGAAGAAAAACAUAAACUGAACAAUUAAGUGUUUGAUGAUUUUGCUAAUGGAGAAGGAAGGAACAUAAAUCACAUUUUUUAUAAGCAUGUAAGAGUUGAGUUGACAAGAAUCUAUGUUAAGUAGAACUUGGUUUCCAUUAGGCAAUUUAAUGGGAGGACUAUGAUGAUCACAAACAUCAAUUAAGAAUUUUAUAUUUUGUAUAAUAUGAUUAGUGCAACCUGAAUCAACAAUUCAAGGAUCAUUUGGACAAAAGGAAAAACAUGAAAGUUUACCUGCAAAAUUGACAAGUGGACUAGAGGGAUUUAUAGAAGGUGGUUGUAUUAAGGCUAAGACUUAUUGAAUUUUUUUUUUUUUAGAGUGAAUGGUAAGCAUUUUAUGCAUCCGAGAUAGAUGUGCCUUGAUCUACUAUAGCUGCAAGAGGUUUAUGAGUUUUAUAACUAAAAGAUGCAUCAGUCUUAGUAAAUUCACCGUGUUCUUGCACAUUUUGGUUUUAUUUUGAAAAUGAUCUUAUAGGCUGAAAAUUUGGAUCAUAUUUACAUUUUCAGGCUUCAUACAACAACGAGACCCAAAAUGACCCUACUUUCCGCAAUAGUUAUAGUGAUAAGGAGGCCCAUUUCCUUUUGAUUGAUUCCUUUGGGUUGCACUAAAAAUAAGAACCAUUAGUUGAGGCUACCAUGGCUGAUUUGUCUUGAUAACUCACUGUAUAUAUUAAUCAUUUUGAUGGAUCGUUGCUGUUCUUCUUGCAAGAUCAAUGAAUAAGCUUUAGAUAUUGAUGGCGGCAAAUGAUUCAUCAUAAGGAGUUGACUUCUCAAAUGAAUAUAGGACUCCCCCAUCAAAAAUUAAAUGACACGAUGAAGUUCCUGAAUACUAUUGAGAAUGGCACUACAUGAACAAGCUUGACAAUCAUUAUAAAUCUCUAGUUCAUCCCACAAUCCUUUUAACAUUGUAUAGUAGUUGGCCACUGAAUUAUUCUACUGUAUGUGAUAUAUGGGACACUGGAUUUCAAAAACUCUUAUAGUAUUUUGUUGAGAGAAGCGAACAUGAAGAUCUGUCCAUACAUCAUAGGCUUUCUUUAUAGAAAUUACACUAUUAGUGAUUUCUUGAGAUACAAAAUUGAGCAACCAAGAUAAAAUCAUUUUGUUACAAUGACUUCAAAGAGCGUAUGAAGAUGAUAUUAGAUGAGGCUACUUGAUAUUGCUAUCAAUGAAUUCUUUUUUUUUUUUUUUUUUUUUUGCUUCAAAAUCCAUGGUGAUAGCAUGAUAUUCUAUAUAGGAUAAUUGUCUCCCGUUAGGAAUUGAGAGAUUAAUAUGGUUCUCGGACUGUCAAAAUGAUGCUCAAACAAACAGUUGUGCUAGAUAGAAACAUCGCAGAAUGUAUACGAUUCAUAUAUUUUACAAGGCAAUACUUUGAAGUAGUAUUCGAAGUUCAAAUUUCCAACAUGGGCUCUAUGAUAUAGUUUUUCAACUAAAAGAAGGAAAGAAUAAUUUAUUUACUAAGUGAAAAAGAAUGAGCAUACCAAACCUUGAAUAAAAGAAUUAUUCCCCUAUUUCAAAGAGUUAAGCAAUAUGUUAAAACCAGGAAAUUAAAAAGAAAAUUAAUUAUCUUCUAAAGGAGCAUAUGAUUUCCUUGUUGUGAUACUGAACUGUGUGGAAGACUUGAAAAUGGAUCCCCAAAAGGAUUUAAAGGACUCAUUUGAUGCGUUUGUGAUUGAGGAUGUUGAGGUUGAUACAGUUGUUGCUGUUGAUGUUGUAGCAUCAUCUGUUGUUGCUGUUGUAACAUCAUUUGUUGUUGUUGUUGUUGAGUCAUUGCCAUUUGCACAUUUGGUGGAGGUGGUACAUUACUUGACAUUGCAAAUGGGUCAUGUUGUUCAAAUGGAUUAUUUUGCAUAGUCAUCAUCCCUCCAUAUCCAUAACCUGCAUUUUGUAAUUCUAGUUGUCUCCUCG